UACGUAGGUGGCUAGCGUUGUCCGGAUUUACUGGGCGUAAAGAGCUCGUAGGCGGUUUGUCGCGUCUGCCGUGAAAGUCCGGGGCUCAACUCCGGAUCUGCGGUGGGUACGGGCAGACUAGAGUGAUGUAGGGGGAGACGUGGAAUUCCUGGUGUAGCGGUGAAAUGCGCAGAUAUCAGGAGGAACACCGAUGGCGAAGGCAGGUCUCUGGGCAUUAACUGACGCUGAGGAGCGAAAGCAUGGGGGAGCGAACAGG
Molecule: ribosomal RNA, 256 nt
Filed under: uncultured bacterium
Lineage: Bacteria
Description: partial 16S ribosomal RNA
Rfam family: Bacterial small subunit ribosomal RNA
Source: RNAcentral